CCGCCCCCAUGCACUGCAAUUCCCAGCAUGCUUUUCGAACAAAUCUGAAGGCGGAGCCUAUUGUCACCCUAGCAGCGGAUCCACAUCUCGGGUUGGCUGCCUUUAGUGUGGCUUGGAAUGCGGUAUUCGGUUCAGCCACUCCUGAUGCUGAGCCUAGUCUCGUAUACCGAACACUACAGGAACUGGUUGUGUUCUAGAGAUCUUCCUGCCCCCCACUUCUCAAGUGCUGGGAUUAUAGGUUUGUGCCACCCGUCCCGCUUUAGCUCACUACAGUUCUUUAAGAUAAUGUCUUAAUCCCCGUCUCAGAAAUGAAUCAGAAAUUCAGAAAGGCUGAUCAAUCUUGUUAUCUGACUCCCCACUUCAUCGCUGGAAGAAGGAAUUGGGAGUUGAGAGAGAAGGCUCAGUCCUCAACUAAAGAAAACUUAUCUCUCUUUCCUUGGUGUGGAUGGCCUUCUUAGAGUGGUGAUGGGAAAUUUUAGAUUCCGAGCCUCUUAGACUGAAGCGGCUCUGGUCUUCAAUCUCCCUGUUACCUAGAGAGAAAAUUGUGUCUAGAGAUUAUGUCAAUGCUAGCGAGGCAGAGCAAAGAUGGAGUUACUAAGUACUUAAGCUCUACUAUGAGAUGUUCUUCCAUUAGGAAAAGCAAAACCAAAAACCUGGGAUUCUUUAAACAACAACAACAAAACAAAACAAAAAAACAAAACCACAAAGCAUUCAAUGGCCCCAGUUUCCAGAAUGAAUACAUUAUAUUUCAUAAUUUGGUAUUUUUAGGUUAAAGAACUUGGACUUCAGAAGAGCCAAAAUCUCCUGUUCUCAUCCCCUUUGGUUAUCUCGCUUCCCACAGACCACCAGGGUCACUAGGAAAUGGAGCUCGCUAAUUUAGGUGUGUACAGUUAAACUGUUACUGUGUAACAUAACAUAUCAAGUGGCUUUUGGGAAUCUGUGAAUGGAAUUGUAUUUUGUCAAUUGAUCUACAGCCUGGUUUUCACACCCCCUCACACCCUUCGGAUCUGUCUCUCUUGGUAGGCAUUGCUGCACGGGGUUUGUUUUAACGCUGUGGUACUACAUAUUGUGUGAAAUUCCUCUGGUGGUGACUGUUUCCCCAGUAUCACAGUUAUAAGCCCUGCACAUAGAUACAAUCUUCACAUUUUUCCCAGGGUCUCUCUGAUUGUCAUAUUUGUAUGGGCAGGCCUUGCCAAAUGAUGCCCUCCCCCCAAGCAAACUUUUGCUAACAGUUAGAGUUAGAAGAAGAAAGAAUUGGAUCAUUGGCAGUCCGUGAAUAAAUGGGAAGCUAAGUCCUUCAUUACAUCCUGACAACAGUUGUUCAAGAUGAUCUAGUCCAGAAGUAUUAGGUUUUUCUUAGCCUUUAGAAUCCACCUGAACUUUGGGACAUUUGAGUUUUCAGCCAAUGACAUAAUUUAGGAACACGGGGGGAAAAUGCCCUUCUGAAUGUAUGUAAGAGAAACCACCAGCUUGCCAUCCAACUCUGAGAAGGUAGAAGCAAGGGGAGGCUAGGCCUCAUGAAACUCUGUCUCCAAGUAAAUAAAUGCCUUACAUUACAAGUACUCAUAUUUUGAAUGCCUAUUCUGAGCCCCUCCAACGACAUAAAGACUUACUAUAAGAUCCAUGGUCUCAGAUGUUCUAUUACUUCCCAAUCUGUCCCCACAUGGGGGACCUUUUAACAUGGGCCUGCGGGACAUUAAAGUUCCAACCUUACAUUUUUUCCAUCUCCAAUAUUUUAUUGAUAUAUCCCACAUAUCACUUAAUCCAGAGUGCCGAAAAUAUCCAACCACAGUUCAAUUUCCAUUAACUUCCUGGAUGGCGUGACUUUCCUUUGUUUUUACAUCUUUUUUUUUUCUUCUUUUUUUUUUAAGAUGAGGCCUCCAUAUGUGCAGGUACUGGCUUAGAACUUGCUAUGUAGGCAUGCUGGUCCCUACCUAGUAAUGACCGUCCUGCCUCUGCCUUUCAAAGUACUGGGAUAUACAAACAUAAGCUCCCAUGCCUGGCUUUGGUUUUUGAACCAAGAAUCUUUCUGUGAAGUGUUCGUGUGAUAACUGCAUCUGGAAGCUGCUCUUAUGCUCACUGUUCAGCUACAAAUGCUCUCCUAAGGCCACCAGUGUGGCGAUUGUUCUUCCUUGUCACCUUAACCGUGAUUAGAGGUGGAACCACUUGGCCUCUGGGCUUGUCUGUGAGGGCAUUUCCAGAGAAGUUAAACUGGGCGAAAACUUAAUACUGAAUGAAGACUCCUUGGGCUCCAGCCCUGGACUGAACAAAAAGGAGGAAGCACCCAGCUCUCUGCUUUUGUUUGUAGAUGCAGUGUAACUAGCUGUCUCACACUCGUGCUGCCAUGGUUUCUGCAGCAGGAGAGACUGCGUUGGUCAUCAAACUGGGAGACACAGUAACCUUUCCUUUCUUUAUUGCUCUUGUCCGAUAGUUUGUUACAGUGAAGAAAAUGUAACUAAUACAAGCAGGUGUCGCAGUUCAGAACACGCUGAUGCAUGAACAUGUGGUUUCACCCUAUCCUUAUAGUUUCCUAUUAUGGAAUGUUCACUUGGAGUUUCGCUUUUGUUUGUUUUUACUUGGAGGCCUGUCCAUCGUUAGUUGUGCCCUUCCUUUUUUCCUUCUUUCCUUCCUUCUUUUCCUUCCCUACCAGAAUGCCUAGGCCAAGAUGAGUCACUGCUCAAUCUUUCUGCAUGCCUUGAUAAAGAAAUGGCUUAGUUUUCUCUAUCUGCCCCCUCCCCAAGCCCUAAACUAGAAAUGUGGUUAGCAUGUCCAUAGAACUGAAGGAAUGGCAUCAUGGGAGUGCGGGGUGCUGAGGCAGGAAGAGGUGGAGUCAGAUGGAACUUUCCAAGAUUGGCAGGGGAUCAGGUCAGGGAGGGUUUGUAAACCAAAGUAAGACAUUUUCAACAAAAUCACUCAAGACUUUUAAAGGCCCUGCCUGUCCUGGGUUCUAUGCUUAUAAAAUGAUGCCACGAAAGAACGAAAGGAGGGAAAGCAGUUUAGGAACCGGCCACAGUAUAAGGUCAUAGUGACUUGCUUCAGGGCUGCAACCUUCAUGGGUACGUUAUCCCAAAAGCUAUGCCAGUGUUUGGCAAAACUUGGAACCUUCUCUGCUCUGAGGUGAGCUCUAAAACGGUGCUGAGAUUGGAGGAGAACUCUCCAGAGACUUCUUGAAGAGACAAGUACGUUUUGGAGAGGUCCCGGGAACUGAAAGUACCAGAGGGAGGAUCCACUGGGUGAAGCAGCCAUGAGUAACAGUUUCUUGAGAAUGUAUGUAUGGUGUCAUAGAAGGAGCAGUAGGGCCUGGGGCAGAGCAGUGACCCAGCAUGCUCAAGGUCCUGGAUUUGAGUUUUGGCACCAAAAGCGGCAAAAACAAUGAAUCAAGAGGAACUGUUUCAUUUCCACUCUAAGAUGUAGUAGGUUUUAGUGUGAGGCCAAAAAACAACACAAGAAACCCUUAUUACUUAAAAGACUUAGACAUCUAGUAUUGUCAUGUGUAUGGUCUUUGAUAAACAUACUACAUUAGGCUGUAAUUUCAUUAAGAACCUUUAGCACAUGGCGGAGAAUGACAUAAAAUGGGUUCUCAGUAAAUGUAAUGACUGAAUCAAGCUCUCCAAUUUUAUUUCUGAUAAUAAAGUAGUUAAAGCAGUGUGUCUCUUCUCUGCCACCCCUGCCCUACCCCCUCCACCACCAUACAUAUGCUCUUCUGAUGUGGCUUUGGCUGACAGGGAACUUACUCUAACUGAGCCUGGCCUCAAACGCACCAAAGUCCUCCUACCUCGACUUCCUGGGUACAAGCAUGAAACCGUGCUUAGCUCUUUUUGGUAGGAUUUGCUGUAGACCAGCCUGGCUCAAAUGUGGAAUCCUCCUGCCUUGGCCUCCCCAAAUGCUGAAAUGGCAGUUGUGCAAUAUCUUAGCUGUGCAAUGGCACAACUGGCUAGGCUGCUCCUGAAGCCAGAGCAUCUGAAGGAGUCAGCCAGGCCACAGAGCUGACCAGAUGACAUCACCAGUGCCCAGGAAGAUGCUCUUUCCUCAGCAGAGCAGGCUUUGUUAUCCCUGCCUUCCUCUAAGAGGUCUGAUGAGGAAUCUGAUCAGGCGACCUCUGGAUUGUCUGAUGACUUCUUGUUAAACAAGCAAACUAAAACCUUGUUUUAUGGGGGUUCUACAGUGCUAAUAUUCCAAUUUAGUUUUUGCAUUUCAAGUUUACACUUCUCUUUUAAAGCUAAAGUAUGGGCUGGAGAGAUAGCUCAGUGGUUAAGAGCACUGACUGCUCUUCCAGAGGUCCUGAGUUCAAAUCCCAGCAACCACAUGGUGGUUCACAACCAUUUGUAAUGAGAUCUGAUGCCCUCCUCUGGUGUGUCUGAAGACAGCUACAGUGUACUUAUAUAUAAUAAUAAGUAAAAUCUUAAAAAAAAAUAAAGCUAAAGUACUUACCAAGUUCAUGAGGUAGGUGAUUGUACUGGCUGGUUUUCUGUGUCAACGUGACACAAGCUGGAGUUAUCACAGAGAAAGGAGCCUCCCUUGAGGAAAUGCUUCUAUGAGAUCCAGCCGUAAGGCAUUUCCUCAGUGAUCAAUGCGGGGAGGGCCCAGCCCAUUGUGGUUGGUGCCAUCCCUGGGCUGGUAGUCCUGGAUUCUAUAAGAGAGCAAGCUGAGCAAGCCAGGAGAAGCAAGCCAGUAAGCAGCACCCCUCCAUGGCCUCUGCAUCAGCUCCUGACUCCAGGGUACUGCCUGGUAUGAGUUCCUGUCCUGACUUCCUUUGGUGAUGAACAGCAGUGUGGAAGUGUAAGCCGAAUAAACCCUUUCCUCCCCAACUUCUUGAUCAUGAUGUCCUGUGUAGGAAUACAAACCCUGACUAAGACAGUGACAGACACAUCUGAGGUGGUUUUGAUCUUUGGAGAAUCUUUCCCAAGCUCCUGUAGCCAGAAUAGCUUUAAAAGAAGGAUUAAGUAGAAAACAAAGCAUACCAUGGUCAGAAAUUAGCUACACCAUAUUACAGCCUUUCCUUUUCUCAACUUGGUAUCACCAUGUACUAUAAGGAUGCUAAAAGUACUUGAAAGAAUAGCUAAAAAGUAGACAGAAGAAUGCCUUUUCUAUAGCUUUGAAGAGAUACCAUGACCACAGUCUGUAAAGCCUGCUAAUCCCCAUAUGUGUAUGAUGUGUUUGUGUGAUAUAUGCUGAUAGAUAAUGGGGUGCUUUCAUCCUGACAGUUGUUCUUUAGAGAACCCUGAGUAAUAGGAAGGGCAAGGGAGGAAAGUAAGACAGGAAGUAAAAGAAUGGCCCUGUUGUCAGGUGUGAUGGCACAUGCCUUUAAUCCCAGCACUCAGAGCAGAGGCAGGUGGAUCUCUGAAUAUGAGGGUUCGAGGACAGCCUAGUCUACAAAGCGAAUCCGGGACUGCCAAGUCUCUGUUAUACAGAGAAACCCUGUCUCGAGAAAACCAACAAAAGAACGACCUCGUUUAUACCUGAUAGGAUUUAAAAUCCAAACUGCUGUCACUCUCCAAUCUGAGUUGCUUAAUUUCUGUCAUUGAGUGUCUGGUCACCUUGAUACACGCUAGCGAUCUAGAAGAGAGAAACUCAAUGGAGAAAAUCCUCCGUCACUUUGGCCUGUAGGCAAGUUAGUCUGUGGGGCAUUUUCUGGAUUAAUGAUUGAGGUGGGAGGGUCUAACCAGCCCACUGUGGAUGCUGGACAGAUGGUGGUUGGUUAAAAUCAAUCAAUCAGUCUGGGUGAGGUGAUAGAGGGCAAACCCAUAAACACGGUUUCUCCGUGGCCUCUGCUUCACUUCUUGCCUCCAGCUUCCUGCCCUGACUUCUCUCGGUGAUAGACUGACUGGGAUGUGGGGGCUAAAUCAACCCAUUUCUCCACAAGUUGCUUUUGGUCAGGGUUUUACUACAGCAGUGGAAAGCAAGCUAGCACGUUGGGGAACUAAACCUUUCUACAGAGGCAGGAGAAGGUAGAUGGCCUGCCAUGUGUCAUAAUUAGUGGUGACAACUGGAUACAUGCAGGUGUCCUGGAGGCUGAGUUGGGAGAUGGGAAAUUGAGAAUGCCCAUGUGCUCUGUGAUAAAGAGGAAAGAGAGUCAUUGGGGUUGUGGAGGGGGACAUUGGUGGAGGGUGGGGAGGUGGAGUCCGUGCUGUUGCUAAAGGCUGUAAGGAAGGCAGUAAGAAGGACAGCUGGAAUGGCAGGAAGAACUAGUUGCUUGUAGCAUUAAUGCACACCAAUCCCAGACUUGGGAGCACAGGAGGCAGAUCUCUGCAUUUGAGGACAUCCUGGUCUUACGUGGACUAUAUGUGUGUCCAGGACAGGCAAGGCUACAUAAAGGGACUCUGUCUGGAAAAACAAAAGCAAAAUGAAAAGCAGUGGUGGUUAACAUGUGAAGUCCAAGGAAGAGAACCAUGUUCAACAACUGUGUGAGGUCUGAGGGGAACAGGGGGGAAUAAGUGUCAAUUAUGUAUACACUGAACAGCAUCACAGGAGGCAGGAUCUCCACAAUGAGUGGGAAAUUAUAAACCAUCAUAUGGCCUGCCAGCCUAGAGAUAAGAAGCACACUCUUCCUGCCAUAUAAAAGUAGGUUUCCAUUUUCUUUUCUUAGACAAUAUUGCUAUAUACGUUUGGUUGUUACGUAUGUAGAACACGGUGGCCUUCAACUUGAGGUUAAUCUCCUGCCUCUGCCUCUAGUGUUCUGGGGAUUACAAGUGUGCCAGCAUGCCCAACCUGUGAUUUAGAUUCAACUGUGCAUUUGAAUCUUGGAUUUCUAGGAUUAUAUAUACUGCCUGUCUUUCACUAAAGGUUAGUUGCCUAAAGAAGGAUCUGGGUCUUACUGUCUUUAUAUUCAUCAACGCCAGUGUCCUCAGCAUAGUAAAAGCUAAGAAAGUUUAGUCAGUGUGAACCUAUUAGGGGAAAUUAACUUCCCAAGGCCCAAGUAGAAAGGCAUGGUCAAAGCCAGUGUUUCUUUAACUCCGGUUUCGAUUAGAAAGCGCGUUGCUCUUCUGAUCUCCAGGUGGCAGUGUUCUCUCAGAUUAAUUGUUUUGGACAAACAAGAGUUCACUAACUUUUUGAGAAAAUAAGCACAUUUUAAUGCAAACGUAGUUGUCCUCUAUUUCUGCAAUUGUACAGAGCCAGCUAAGAAACAAAAUAUAGUUACAUUAUUAUGUGAGACUAUUGAUUUCUUCCUCAGUUUCAAUGCAAAUGAGAAUUCUUGGUAACUCUUGGGGUUUCUGGAAACUUGAAAGCGUAUGUGACAAGCUGUUGGUUUGCUCUUCCUCAAAACGCAAUCCUUCAAAGCAAAAAAAUAUAGGAGCGGAGCUCUGUUCCCUGCUAUUGGAUCCCCUUCCCCUACCUGAACCGCCUGGUCGGGCCUCAGAGGGGAAGGAUGUUCGGGGUCCUGCCAGGACUGGAUAUCCCAGGGUGGAGUGGUACCCAAGUGGGUUUUCCCUUCUCUGAGGGUAAAGGGAGGGUAUAACGGGCAGGGAUUUAUAAGGUCAGGACUGGGAGGGAAGAGGGGCUGCAGUCAGGAUGUACCGUGAAUAAAAACAUUAUUGGAAAAAGAAUAAUUAUGGAGAGGAGGCAAUAUGUUCAGAAAUAGCUCAUCUGACAAAUGGGAUGGCCAGACUAAACACAGUGGCCAGCAAAUCUUGAACUUUGGAUAAACAGAAAUAUUGUUCUGUCUUCUCAAAUACUGCAUUCAGAACACAGGAAAAAACAAAGCACUCCUGUUAACCUGAAAUUCAAAUUUACUGGAAAGCUUGGAUUUUUUUAAAAAAACUAAAUCACCAACAGUUUGUAAUUGUUAAUCCAGAAUAAACAAAGCAUGGGUCAAUCCUGCCACUUCCUUAUUUGGAGAGGGAAUAAAAAGGAAGGCACUGGUAGGCCCAGCUUCCUUGCUGUAAAUCUGCCUUUGUUGAUCUCUGUGCUCUCCCCUGAGGGUACCGUCCAUCAGUGGAGGACUUCUCUCUGGGAAACUGGGGCCCUCUAGCAAGUGAACACGGCAGGCCCAACGCAGAUAUCUCAUAUAACAGUAUUUUAUGACCUGAGUGUCUGGCUGAAAACUCCAAAUCCUGGGGCCGAUGGAAUUAUGCAUGUCUGAAGCCCUGUUCUAUUCUAACACACACACACACACACACACACACACACACACACACACACACACAUUUGUGCACACAUGAACUCACACAUGCGUGCACACACCUGAAAACUGAAUAAACAGUUGAUUCUAGACUGCAGAAGAGCUAGAUGAACAGCAAUGACAGCCAAUGCUAAUUCCUUAUCAAAAGUUUAACAGAUUUUCUAGUAAGCUAAAUACUAGGUAUUGUUUUAUAUUUAUUUGUAUGUGUUAUAAACAUCCCCUAUGGUCCAAAUGAAUUGUACUUUAGAAUUAUGUUUGUGGGCCCAGAGAUGUAGCUUAACAGUGGCGCAGUUCCCCUGAAUGUAAUGAGUCCCUGUGCUCAAUCCCCAAACUGUAAAAUUGAAGAGAGAAGGAAGAAGCUAUCCAUAGAAACACGAUCAGUAGUGGUUAGGCCACAGGUUACUUUUAUCAGACUACUUAGUCACGUGGCUGAAGCACUAUUUGUGGUUUUAAGAUGUGCUUUAUAGGGGCUGGGGAUUUAGCUCAGUGGUAGAGCGCUUACCUAGGAAGCGCAAGGCCCUGGGUUCGGUCCCCAGCUCCGAAAAAAAAGAACCAAAAAAAAAAAAAAAAAAGAUGUGCUUUAUAAGGGAAAAGUUAUUGUAAUAGCAUUUUUAAAAGGAAGAAAUAAAAGUAAAAUUUUAAAAUUUUGAAUACUCAUGUUUGAGGAAGUAUUUCUAACUUCUCUUUAUUUUGCUUUUGUGCCAAAAGCCUCCUGAAGUGCUUCAUUUAAACAAAUCAUUUUAUGAUGACCUAAAAGAUACAUACUAAGAUCCCUCUUGACAGAUGAGAAAACAAAGGCUAAAUAGUGGCCCCAAGUCCCAUAGCUAAGAAAUUAACCUGGGCUCCUAUCCAGCCCUCAGCAGCCUUCUCUGCACAUGACAGGCCCAGGUGAGAGGAAGGAAGUGAACUGUGGGAGAAGAAUCUGAAGGGGCCACGGGAUUGCCUUCUGGAACACCAGCCAGCAUUCUUCCUAAGUCUAGAACAGUUCAAAGUGAAUGGCCCUUCUUCCUUCCUUGAGGAUGUUGUGAUUCCCACUUUGUGCAUACUCACUAGAAUGGAGCUGUUUUAGAUGUAUUCACAGAACAAGACAGGUCUGAAAGUGACGAAGCUUUACCUGAAGUGACUGGAGAAUAGUUAACAGAAGGCGGAAGAGGAUUAAAAAGUGCUUGCAUGGGGCCAAAAGGGGGUAUCCUGGGGUUAAAUAACUGGAGCUGAGGUCUGAAAAGAAAGGCAGGUGGGAGGAAGAUUUGAUGAACUGUGUUCAUGAAAAGGAAAGGGAGGGACAGGUCACAGCCUGGAUGUGAGAUAGCUCAAGAUUGCUCAGGAACCACCACUACAAUAUGGUGGACUCACCCAAGGCUACCCGAGGUGACAGACAGUCCUUUAUCUCUACACAUUCCUUUCUCUCCCCAUCCUCUUCUGGAACAAACAUCUGUAAGAUAGUGAGGGAGGAAGGGAACAGUAAGGUGUCAUGUCUAACGCAGUGCCAGCACUUGGGAGGUAAAGGCAGGAAAGUCAGGAGUUCACAGCCAGCCUCAACAAUGCACUAAGUUCAAGACCAGCCUGGGCUACAUGAAACCCUAUAUCUAGAACAAGAAAGGAAAACAAUAAAUACACAAGAACAAGAAGAGGGACUUCUCUUCAGGGGACAGAAGACCAUGCUGCUUUCUAAAUGGAGAUGGUAAGAUUUUAGAUAUGGGACUUUAGUAUAGGCCAGAGCGAGUGACCUCUUGGAUGCACUCUGGAACUGAAGGAGGAUACCCAUGUGGCCUUGCUGUGGCCAGUGAAGCCCAAACAAUGUCUGCUGGUGGCUUCCGGAAAAAAAAUUUAAAACUACUAGGCUGGUGGAGCUGGGCAAUGGUUCAGUCAGUGAAAUGCCCAUUGCUUAAGCAUGAAGAACUGAGUUGUACAGCAUGCCUAAGAAGUGGUGGGUCCCUGGGAGUCAUCAGCCUGGCUUCCACACACAGCAGCUCUUGAUAGAGGUAAGCCCUUCCAUCUAAUGGACUCUCUACUUUGAAAAGUGCAAUCCUUAGAGUCAGGUGCUCAGGGACAGAGAAGGGCUGCUUGCUGGCGCUAUGACUUCUUGGUGCCUUUUCUUCCUCAGGGUCGCUGUGACAUGGGAGAGACAUAGUCCAUGGGAGCUCAUAAUCUAACGAGAGACGGGUUUAUGGCAAACAAUUACAGUGUGGGUGCGGUCACAGAGAUGAGAAUAAAGUGCUUUGAUCACAUGAAGAAGUCAGUGCAGGGGAACGGAGGAUGACGGCACAGAAGGCAAAGCUAACCAAUCAACACGUAUCAACAGACACAUCUGUAUGUAUUUCUGUCCAAGACACAUCUGUAUGUAUUUCUGUCCAAGGGCCUGUAUUUCUGUCCAAGGGCCUAAGAAUGAAGCUCAGUUCCCAGCCCUGCAUAAACUGGGCACCAUGGAGAACCUCCAUAUUCCCGAAUAGCCUUCCCCACAAUUCCCCAAAUCCCAGCAUGGUUAGGAACUUUUAUUUAUAUUUGUUUUUAUUUUUACAGUGUUAAGGGUGGAAACUAGGCCUCUGUACAUGGUAGGCAAAUUCUGUGACACUGAGAUACCUGAUCCUCAGAUCAAGGCUGGAGAUGGGGGUGGUGUAUGUGUGUGUGUGUGUGUGUGUGUGUGUGUGUGUGUGUGUGUGUGAUAUUGACGUCCAGGAUCUUCCUCUAUUCUCCCCAUUCUUUUCUAAGAUAAGCUAAGAUCUUCAUCUCCCAGUGAUUCUGAGACUUGCUGAUUCAGUAUGACUAUCUGGUCAGCAAAUCCCAGGGAUGCCCCUGACUCCACCUCCAUAGGGAUGCACUGCUAUGCCCAACUUUUUAUGUGUGCGUUCUGGGAAGCUUGCAUAUGAAGCACUUUGCCCUGAGCGCCAUCCCCAGCCCAAGGCUAGGAUUUGUACUGAGCUCUGCCCACUGCAAGCUCUUACCUCUGCUGUUGCUGCCAAAACUAACUCACUAUUGAAGUAAUUCUGUAAUUUAAAUAAGAAUUUUCCCCAGGUACACUAUAGUAGCCCUUAUGAUUCAUCUUAACUUCUUUUUGUAAGUUGAAAAAAUAAUUGCGUGUAUGUAUGUGUGUGCGUGUAGGCAUCUGUGUGGUGUUCUGUAUGUGUGUGUGGCACAUGCAAUACAUAGUAAGUAUUCAGGCAUAUAAGCAGAACAUCCCUUGUCUCCCUCUACCUACUCCCUCCUGACUGGCUGCCUUAUUCCUUUGCCCACCUUUUUAUGUGGAUGCUGGAGAACCAAACUCAGGUUAGUGUGGUUGACACCUUUAAUCCCAGCACUCGGAAGACAGAAACAGAUCUCUGUGAGUUCUUGGCCAGUCUGGUCUACACAGUGAGUUCCAGGGCAAUCAGAGUUCUACAGUCUGACCCUGUCUCAAAGGGAAUACACAAUGAAACUGAAUAUUGGGGCUGGAGAGAUAAUAGCUCAGUGGUCAAGAAUACUUUGCUCUUGCAGGGAUCAUGUACCCACACGGUGGUUCACAACUUGACCACUGAGCUAUGUUCCCACAUGCCAAGAUGUCGUAUUUACUUUAGAAAAUAUGGAUAGCAAAAAUAAGGACAUUAGAGCUGGCCCGUUGUAGGGUAGCCAGUCCUUCCCGCUUGGGUUUGGGCCUGUUUUACCAGGCCUAAUUUUGUAAGCAUAGUUACAAAACCUCAUAGGUGAGGUUAUCAGAGGCGCUAGGGGACAUGUUGUGGUAAAUCUCCAACCCCAAUAAACCAGCGCAAAGAACACGUAAUUCAGUUAUAAUGUUUAUAAGCUGCCUGACUACAUUGGGCAGAGUCACCACUGCUCUGCUCUAUUCCCCGGCUACGAGAUCCCUUGCUACUGACAGCUCCUUCAGGCUCCAGCUCCCUCCCACCUCCUCUUCCUCCCUUCCCUCUCUUCCCUCUCUUCAUCUCCCCCUCCCUCCAUGCUCUCUCUCUCCCUGAGACUUCCGUCCCCACCUCUUCUUCACUGCCCAGUCACAGGCUCUAGCCUUUAUUUGACCAGUUAAAAUGGGGAGAAGGUUCCCUUGAAAUCACCCGAGUACUUGGUUAAAAUACAAACGGCACCACAGCAAUCCCCCAGUAGGGAGAGCCUCCUGUUGUUCAUAUUGGCUAAAUGGCCAUGUUGUCCAACUACCUUCUAAAUAUCUAUGUUUACACUCACAGGUCUGUGCUGCUCUCAGAGGUGGUCAGAGAACCACCUUCUGGAGGUGCAUUCAUAGCUAAUCAAAGGGCUAAGAAGAAGUAAUCGGGUGUGCUCAGUCAUUCAUGGACCAUCCGGGUCAACCUUCACCUGCUCUGAGGCUCAGGGAGCAUCAAACAAGUGAGGAGAUAAAAACGAAGCAAGAGGCUGGGUAGGCAGCAUUGCACCCAUGAACUUGGAGCUGUGGAACCUGUAUACAGUCAGACCAGCCAGAAUUCCAGCAUCAAUGGGGGACUGGCUCCUGAGGACCGUGGCCCUAGCUGCAGAGAUACUGGCAAUUGAAGGCUGCCUGAGCAGAGUCUCUCUUCUUUGGACAUUUGAUGCUGGUGAGCUACCCAGAUCCAAGCGAAUGAACCCACAGCCAUGUACACAUGAGCAACACAGUUGGAUUCUGUGAGUUAUUAAAAACAACAAAAAAAAAGAGGACAUGAAUUUGGCGGGGAACAUAUUAGGGUUCUCAGAGGGGAACUAGAAGAAGGUAGUAAGGGGUGGAUAUGGUCCAAAUGCACUGUAUUAUUGUAAAUAUUCUAUAUCACACAUAUAUGCGUAUAUUUAUUUUCCUAAGAGUAAAAAUCACAGCACUCAGCAGAAAGGAAAGAGAAGAGAUGGGCCUGACUCCAAAAGUGACUGUGUGAUCUGACAAGAGUCCACGCAAUAGAGAAGGGGCGUGUCCCCAUCACAGGUACAAUUGUACCUCUCUUGGCCAAUACCCUAUAUGUAUUAUGUAAUAUGAAGGUGUGUCUCCACCGGUGUGAGUUUCAGACCAGGGGAGAAAUCUACACUAGACUGAAGGAGAGUGAAGAGGAUCUUGCCAUUCCCCUCAAGUGACAAAAACAAUUGCUAGGGAUUUACUUUAGUGAGGAAAAGAAGAGGAUCAGCUUGUGUUUCCUUCAAGCGAGAAUGCCACACAUACCUUCCUGUAAGAGCUUUAGAAAUGGUUAAGUAUACGAUUGCAGGCCUUUUUCUCACAGUCAAUGCCAUCUUUUAUUUGUGACUUAGUUUGUGGGCGUGGAUGAGGGCGUACCCCAGAGAAUGUGCAUGAGACCUAGUGUGCCUGCCUCCAUACGUAGAGGUUAGAGAGCCACCACAGACGUCAGUUCUUGACUUCCAUCUUCUUUGAGCGAGGAUCCUGUUUUCUUUGGUUCUUUGCUGUUGCACCGUCCAUGCCAGGCUAGCUGGCCUGGCACCUCUUCAGGAUUCCUCCUUUCUCUGCCCUCGGUCUCACUGGGAUUACAGAUCACAUUACUAUGCCUGUCUUUAUAUGGGUUUUGAGGAUCCAGGCUCUGGGCUUCACCCUUAUGUGGCAAGUACUAAUAAAGUCCUAUGACUCGACUCAUCAGCUAUCAAGUUUUUAACUCUUUUUUAUACAUCUCCAAUAUUUUAUUUGCAUCCCUUUCUUAUAAAACCUUGACAUUAUCCCAACCCCUAUAUUGACCUAGUCCCAAAUCUUUUACAGAAUCAAAGCGAUAAACUUCAUUUUUUAAAGGAAGACACUACAAAAAAAAAUGUUUUUAGGAUUCAUACUUUUGGCUUUAUUUUCCAGUUUUAAAAAGUUAAUUUAUGGAGUAAGGACUAUAAAAAGAACAUGUUGGAGGUCUGAUGACAAUUUAGUAGAUUUCAGAAUUUGUUAAAUUUUCUGUUUUCAGUGGGACAUGCUCUCAAGGUAAUGCUAUUUAGAAUAUCUGCAUCUAAGAAUUUCCAUAUGUUCUUCACAGAUCCAACAUCCUGCCAGUUCUCUCUGCAGUUCUCCCUGGAGAGUAAGUAUGUGCAGUCUGUCCUGACAAAGACUGGGCCCCAAGUUGUAAGAAAAGGUUCACUUCCUGCCAAGUAAAAUAACCUUUCCCACAAAUUGAGCAACAUAAUAAAAAAGGAGAGAGAGAGAUUGCAGCCUAGAAGAGAACGCUAGGAAGAGAGGCUGGUUUCUGCAGUUAGAGGUGCUGUAGGGUCAAAAUUAAUGCUGUAUCUUAGACCAUCCUUUCAGUCUACAAUACUGCUCCUAAUUGUUAGUAUGAGCAAAAGGAAAUAAUCAGUACUGUUUUAAUAUCCAAAAGAGAAGGUUUACAGGGGUGAUGAUAGAAUACUGAAGCAAAUAUUUUAUAGUGAAGCUACCCAUUGUUUUUAUUUGUUGGUUGAUUUGUUAUAAAAUUUCAUUUCUGUAUGUGGGAGCUAAAAGCAUCCAAGUUGAAGUGAUAUCUUCAAGGCUUUUUUUCCCCUCCUGUUUUUAAUAAUUUUUCACUUUGUCUUAGUUUGAUUACUUGAACAUUGUUAAGUCAUUCUUAUUAAAAUACUAUUGGCACUGGGUGUAUCUUAGUUGGAGAGUGCUUACCUAAUAUCCACAAGACCUUGGGGGUUUAUACCUGCAUAAACAAGGAGCGGUGGCGAACACCUAAAAUCCCAGCACUCAGGAGGUAGAUGCAGGAGGAUCAAAGGUUCAAGGUUAUCCUCUGCCACAUUGGGAGUUCAGGACCAAUCUGGGAUAUAUGAGACUUUCUUUAAAAAAAAGAAAAAGUACAUCAAUAGUGUACAUGAGGCUCUGAGGCCCUGUUUUCAACACAGAUGCACACACACAUGUACACGCACACACUCAUUAUGACACUGAGAAAGGCAAUGGCUUCUACUGAAAAUAAAUUAUCUUCCAACAAUACAGUUUUUACUGCUGUGAAUGAAUUUUAUUUAUUGUCCAGCCAGCUAUGCUCUGGCAACCUUACCAUUAACUCCAGCAACCUAGAAUGUAGGAUUAUGUUAUGAGGAAGAGAGGGCAAAUUAACAAGAUGGGACUGAAUGAAAAGCUUAAAUAUUAUUUAAAUAGUCAAAACGUUUCCUGAGACUGUAACGGGAAGGGGAUCCAAGCCGAGUUCCAAGAGCGUCUCUUGCUCUCCUGCCUUGGAAGGAUGAGAUCUGAUGAGGAGUCUGGAUGGUUCCCUGACAAUCUGAGGCAAGUGGGUAGGAUGCUCACCGCCACUAUCUACUAGAGUUUCACUGGUUCCAUAGUUAGCUGGCAGUCAUCAGGCAUUAUUGUCUCUCAGUUACUUCAUUCAGAAAGUUAAAGCUGUUAGAAUAACAAGAGUGUUACAGCUUAAGCUUUUCUUAUACAAAGUCAGGCAUAGAGUUCCAACUAAAAUACUUCAGCAAAUGGCUUUCUCCCGGCUUCAUGAGCUGCUUGGCACACAGUGAUUUCAGCCUAGGCAAACGUCUGAUGAGCUGAGUGGGCCCGAUGGUUCAGGCCUGUCAUCCCAGAUCCUUGAGAGGGUAAGUCAGGAUGAUCACAGAGUGAGGGCUGGCCUGGGCUGUAGAGUGAGUUCAAGGUCAGCCUGAACAUCUUAGUGACACUCUGUGAAAAAUGAAGAAAAAAAAAAAAAGAUUAGAGCAAGUCAUUUACAGAAGAGAAGAAGUGGUCAGUAAACACUCAAAAAUGUCUUCACGCUCAUUAGAAAUGAGAUAAUAAAAAUUAGAACUAAGCCCAGGAAGAUGGCUGGCAGGCAAAAGUACUUACCACCAAACCAGGUGACCUGAGUACAAUCUUUGGAACCCACAUUGUGGAAGGAGACACCAUCCUCUGAAUUACCAGAAAGUAGUAAAAAAAUAAAAUAAAAUAAAGUAACUAAAGGAAAACAGCCUAUCUUACCACAGAUAACAGAAUUCUAUAAGUCUAACUACACCAGGUACCAUCAAGAUUCUGAGCAGGAGGGGUUGGGGAUUUAGCUCAGUGGUAGAGCCCUUGCCUAGCAAGCACAAGGCCCUGAGUUCGGUCCCCAGCUCCAAAAUAAAAUAAAAUUAAAUUAAAUUAAAAUAAAAUAAAAAGAUUCUGAGCAGGAGGGAAUGCAGCUAAAGAGCGUUCUGGAAAGUUAGUAACAGGAAACUAAAACUGUUCUUACCUCAUGAUCCAGGAGUUGUGAUAAAAAGGGAGCCAGGGAAUAUACACAGACAUAUCCGCUGUAACAGCAAGCGUUUGAAGUGCAUACAUACGCUUAAGUGUAAGAACGUGUAGGGUUGUGGGUCCGGUGUCCACUCUGCCACAGGGCGUGGCCGGCCGCUCAGGGAGGCGGGACACAGGAAGUUGACCGCUCUUACCCCGAAGGGAAGCCCCAGACACCAUUCGGGAGCGGGAAAGCCCAGGCUGAGGUUCCGGACAGCUGGAGCUGGUUCAGGGGUCCCCGGGCCUGGGAAGAGGCUGGGAGCAUUUGGUUCUCAGGCUCUUGGAUACCCAGGUGCCGCUGGAAGUCUCUGAAGAGCUGCGAAUGGAGUGGGAGCCCAGGGCUGGGGGAAAAGGAGGGCAGCUCUGGCUGGUUCCGCUGGGGUGGGGGUCUAAGGGAGGAUGAGUUCUUGACUUGACAGGUGGUAGCUUGAGCUUGGUGGCCAUAGUGGCUAGGAGUGCAGAGAGGCCUUCUGUGGAAGACUAAAUGGCAGCUCUGUGGGUGAAGGCCUUCUCCAUCACUUCCCACAGCAGAUCCCGAUGAAAAGAGGCAGUCCAUAGUUUUAAGGCAUUUAUUGUCAUGGUGGAAAGUGGAUGUGUAAAAUCAUAUCCCCCUUCUCAGGGUAGACCUGAGGUUAAAAA
Molecule: non-coding RNA, 16880 nt
Organism: Rattus norvegicus (Norway rat)
Lineage: Eukaryota; Metazoa; Chordata; Mammalia; Rodentia; Muridae
Source: RefSeq, a predicted model, not a curated record